Non-coding RNA from Pelobates cultripes (western spadefoot toad), 209 nucleotides. Lineage: Eukaryota; Metazoa; Chordata; Amphibia; Anura; Pelobatidae. The record is from the annotation of a GenBank genome assembly.
CUCCUGUGCUAAGCAACUGAGUAACAGGAAGAGCAGGUGAUGCAAGUAAUAUGCAUUCCCUAGUUCCCCCUCAAAAAAAUGCCUAUUUUCUUGUGUGUUUCCUAACCUCCCUUUUGAAUUUCUUGCCUCCUUUUGUGUUUGUUAUCCCCUCGUUUAAUUAUCUCACCCACUUUAAUGUCUUUUUUUAUUUUUUUAUCUUUAGUUUUUCC